This 138-nucleotide small nucleolar RNA is filed under the name Ornithorhynchus anatinus (platypus). The record is from RNAcentral. Lineage: Eukaryota; Metazoa; Chordata; Mammalia; Monotremata; Ornithorhynchidae.
CUCCUCACAGGGUCUCAUCUGGAGAGUUUCCAGUACUCUACCAGUGACGGCCACAGGAGGGAGAGUCAAGCAGAGGCCUACUCAUUCCAUUCCUAGCUUGGGCAGUGGCUAGUGAGUGGAAGGCAAUCUGCUACAAGU